Molecule: unclassified non-coding RNA, 365 nt
Filed under: Hevea brasiliensis (rubber tree)
Lineage: Eukaryota; Viridiplantae; Streptophyta; Magnoliopsida; Malpighiales; Euphorbiaceae
Source: RNAcentral
GGCUACUCGACGUCGUUUCAAUGGAGUCAAAGUGUCAAAAUCCAGCAGAUUGUGGAACCCAGCACAAGAGUUGAAGAGAGUACUGCUUCCAUGGCGGCCGAACGUCCUCCUGUCAUCGCCUCCGCAACCACAAACGCAACCUCAGUUCUGCAGGAGAAACGGUAUCGUUCCAUAUUUGACGUCCCAGCCAACUUCUUAGACGCCUGCCGCUUACUGUCUUCCUCCGCAGGUUUAGUAUCCGAGACCUCUGAGAAAUAUGAGAAUCCCCCUAUCAUCGGAACCCUAGAGGAGACCGAUGAUAGGGAAGAGAAGAGUUCUAGAAAUGGCGCCGCAAUGCUUAGAUGGACUUGUAACAUCUGCAAGGC